This 496-nucleotide ribosomal RNA is filed under the name uncultured bacterium. Its description in RNAcentral is "partial 16S ribosomal RNA". It matches the Rfam family "Bacterial small subunit ribosomal RNA", at positions 29 to 507 of the family's 1533-position model. The record is from RNAcentral.
AUGAACGCUGGCGGCGUGCCUAAUACAUGCAAGUCGAGCGAACGGACGAGAAGCUUGCUUCUCUGAUGUUAGCGGCGGACGGGUGAGUAACACGUGGAUAACCUACCUAUAAGACUGGGAUAACUUCGGGAAACCGUAGCUAAUACCGGAUAAUAUUUUGAACCGCAUGGUUCCAAAGUGAAAGACGGUCUUGCUGUCACUUAUAGAUGGAUCCGCGCUGCAUUAGCUAGUUGGUAAGGUAACGGCUUACCAAGGCAACGAUGCAUAGCCGACCUGAGAGGGUGAUCGGCCACACUGGAACUGAGACACGGUCCAGACUCCUACGGGAGGCAGCAGUAGGGAAUCUUCCGCAAUGGGCGAAAGCCUGACGGAGCAACGCCGCGUGAGUGAUGAAGGUCUUCGGAUCGUAAAACUCUGUUAUUAGGGAAGAACAUAUGUGUAAGUAACUGUGCACAUCUUGACGGUACCUAAUCAGAAAGCCACGGCUAACUACGUG